GGCCCUGUUUCCUGCCUUCGAAGCAGUAGGUCGUAGGUUCGAAUCCUACUGGGGUCG
This 57-nucleotide transfer RNA is filed under the name Methylosinus sp. 3S-1. Lineage: Bacteria; Pseudomonadati; Pseudomonadota; Alphaproteobacteria; Hyphomicrobiales; Methylocystaceae. The record is from Rfam by way of RNAcentral.